Cavia porcellus (domestic guinea pig) is the source of this 1976-nucleotide long non-coding RNA. RefSeq lists it as uncharacterized. The transcript is spliced from 2 exons. Lineage: Eukaryota; Metazoa; Chordata; Mammalia; Rodentia; Caviidae. The record is from RefSeq and is a predicted model, not a curated record.
GAAGAGCAACUGGCAGCCUGGCUAUGAUUUUUGGUGAAUCAUCAGCAAACAUCUCCCAAACUGUCCUCAGCUGUUGUUUCUAUUUACUUCUUGACACCAGAGAGGAGAAAAAAAAGCAGAGUUAAUUGAUGUGUGCCAGUGACUUUGUGGGACGUAUAGUCAGCUCCUGUUUACUGUUCCCCCGUCUAUUUUUAUUUGGGCACCAAGAAAGAAACAUAAGAAAGAAGGGCUUUUAAAACGUCAUUAAGGAUAAAAAUAAAAGUCCAUGUCAUGAAAGAAAUUCUCUGUAUAUGGCCUAGAAUCUCUCCUCAAGCUUCUGCAGUAGUGUGCUGUAAACCCGAGGCCGAGGAAUGACACUCAGCGUCAGCUGCCAUACAAAGUACAGAACGUGUUCCACUUUCAGAAACAACCCGUGGCUGGCCCACGCUCCGAGAACUAAAAGCAGAGUUGUCGUGUGAUCCAGAAUUUCACUCCUUGCGUCCAUCCAAGAGAAAUGAAAAUAUACUGCCACACAGAAAUUUGCAUGCAAAACUCACAGCAACCCUGUCUACUGUACCCAAAAGAGUCUGCUGUUGGGUGAGUGGGCAAACAAAAUGGGUUCACAGAGUAGGCUAAUAGCCUUGAAAAAGAAGAAUUCUCACAAUGCUGAGCCGCAGAUAUACCCCAAUGUGUCGUGUUCAGUUUCUCCCUUGACCAAAGACAUUUGACAGUUCUGGAGACAUUCUCGGUUACUACCAGUAGGGGGAGGAGAUCUUCUGGCCUCUAAAGUACGAUGGCUGCUCAGCCUGUAAGAGGGACAGCCCCUGAAUUAGGAAUCAGCUCCCCCUAUUGUAAGCAGAGCUGGCCUCAGAUCCUACUGUCUGGUCCCAAAGACUACUCAAGCACACCUGGAAAAGCCUGGCUGUGGGGACAGCUCAGAUUUUGAAGUGGGCUGAGUUCUGUACCCCAUAAUUUAAUCCUGUUGGUGGGGAUUAUGGCCUGUUACCACCAUCAACCUGUUAGGGACUGAAUUUUGUGUCCACCAAAAAUUAAUACGUUGAAGCUCGAACUGUAUAGUGACAAUUAGUGGCCUCACGAGAAGAGGAAGGAAGCAAAUCCUCAUGAAGACAGAAGGGGAAGGUGUCAUCUGCAAAUCAGGAGGAGGGGCCUUGCCAGAAACAAAAUCCACUUUCAACUUGGACUUCCAGCCUCCAGGAGCAUGUGAAAAAUAACUGCCUGUCACUUAGAAGCCCAAGCCUGUGCUAUUUGGGGAUGGCUGGCAAGCUGCCUGACUGGCCCUUUCAGCAUGAGGAGUGGCCCCUGCAAGGCUUUAUGUUCCUACGUCACAGUGAAGUGUACAGAACUCAUAUGUCACCACAGUUGGCGGAGGGAAACCUGGACAGAGGGCAUCUGGCUCUCAGGAGGGACCUAGAUUUUGUGGAGACGCUUCUGGGUUCUCAUUCACUUCUAGGAAUCAGGAGUUUCCUCCUGGCAUGUGCUGGCUUCAGGCACAGCCAGUAUGGCUGUGUCAUCCAUGGGAGGGAUUUUGGAAGUCCCGAGGAGACUGGUGUCAAGAAACAUGACUGACAGUCAAAAACCAGCAAAGAUCCAGGUGACCCUCAAGCCUCCCUCUCCUUCAAAGUGUCCAUGUCACCUACAGCUUCUGAUAUUUUGUCUAUGGAGAAGCAUCAACCAAGGCCUCUGUCACACCUCUCUUCUUCCUCAGCAGUGGCAGGCUGCUGUGAUUGGCUAACAUACAGGGAGGCACGCCAUCCUGGUCAGAGAGGGAUUUUCCAGAGACUAGAGGUGGACAAGACUGGAGCCUGGCCUUGGCUGAGGCAGGAGGUGGGCUGAUGGAGUCCAUUCCUCCCCUUGCUACCUGGAAUUCACACAAAUAUUGAAAUCAAGGAGGACAAAAACAUCUUUAGGUAGCUGGGGUCCUGGAGUGUGAGUCCUUUAUCCACUGACUUGUGAAAUAAACAUGUAUUUGGUGAGAA